This is a long non-coding RNA of Oreochromis niloticus (Nile tilapia), 1663 nucleotides long. RefSeq lists it as uncharacterized. The record is from RefSeq and is a predicted model, not a curated record. Lineage: Eukaryota; Metazoa; Chordata; Actinopteri; Cichliformes; Cichlidae. The transcript is spliced from 4 exons.
CAGAGGAGAGACUGAAUAUGUUGAAACACGCAAAACUGAGGUGACAUUGUGUUCUGCUUGGGAUUGCAACGGCACAGGCAAUUUCCUUACAGUCAUGCAUUGUAUAUGUGUGUGUGAAAGCGAUUUUCUGUGACACAGUUAUGUUUUCAGAGGUAGGUUUGCUCUGUAAGAAAAAAAAUUGAGCAAUCCUGGUUUUCACCCAAACUUUUAAAGUCAGCUCCCGGCCACUCGACCUGACAUGCACCAUUUUUCUGCACAAUAGGGGAUUAGUAAUUUACUUCCAUUAAUACAAUGCAAUGCACAUGUUGAACUGACAGAUUUAGUGACUCCCGCCAACGGGAUUUUUCAUCGUAAUAUGCACUUUAUUUUCCCCUGUGAAAGUUCCCUGUCAUAUUAAGUGGAAUUGAACAGACAUAAUAAACUGUGACAGUGUCUGUGAUGAAUGGUCCUCGAGUCACAAUCUGAAAUUUCACUGUUUACAAUUCCUCAGAAGCAAUUCUGUUGCAUAAAUCAUAAUCUGUGUAUAUUAGCUGUCAAAAUUAAGUGUUAUGAGAGUGGGAGAUGCCACAUUCGUUGACUCUCAUCGUAGCAAAAAGAUGGAUGCAGUAGAUGUGCCGACAACAUGUCGAGAUUAUGAAGCCGUAAACUUUUUCGUAAGAUUAUUAUUUAACCACCCUGCAACGCUUCAGAUUUAACCACAUCUGCAAAAACAGCUUAACCGCAAUCAGCCAACAUUUGACACAAAAUACAAACUCUACUGAUGUGCCAUUUCUGCAACUAAAUUCUCUCAAUCUAGUGUGAUCAGUAAUUUUAAUAUUUAAAAACACCCGCUUCAGUGAAUACAUGUGGAUUUUAUAAAGUUUAUAGCACUUUAUAUUCAUAUUCCUGCAACCUAUAUUCUCAUCUGUGUUUCAUUAUAAGGAAAAACAGUAAGAAUUCCAGCUUUAACCUGCUAAUAUUCCCCAUACUCAGUCUAUAAUAGCACAGAGUUCCCAGUGAGUGCUAUUGGACUUUUGUUUGGCAGGAGGGCUAUUGAUUUCAUUAAGAAGACGUGUGGAGCACAUUACAGAAUGAUGACUGCUUCAUGGGAGGUCAACAAGAAAUCAAUACAAAAUUAUAUUACAGCUUCGACUAGCUGCGGUAAGUCCAGCUACUGAGCACAGCUGCCAACACUGGACUGGAAAACGGGGGGAAGACUUUUCCUGCAGGCAUUUCUUGUGAGAACAAAACAUGGUGAGGUAAAAAAAAAAGGACUGAGGAUUAACCACGGCCUUGUCUGUCGGCACAAGGCUGAAGAAGUUGAAGUGGACUUUCAAACCAAAGGAACUACGAUACCACUUAGUAAAGGGCUGAGAACAGAAGUGAUGCCUACUAUCUCACCAUAAAAAAGGAUACAUCGCAAAGAAAACCUAAAAAAGUCAUACCUUCAAGAAGAGCCCAGCGUGUGAGAGCAUGGGAGUGCAGCAGGAUAGGCUGUAUGUGUUCUUGGUUUAACCUUGUCACGUAUGAUUCAACACUUUGCAUAACACUGCCUGGAUGUAAGGCACCUCGAAUGCAAGGUAAAUGUGAACAGGUCAUCAGUGCCUUCCGGGAACAUCUGGACCCGGUGCUUCAAAUCUUUGUUUUGGGUUGGUUUGUUAGGAGUGUAUGAAAGAACACUGAC